RNAcentral lists this transfer RNA (73 nucleotides) under Stegodyphus mimosarum. It matches the Rfam family "tRNA". Rfam says of the family: Transfer RNA (tRNA) molecules are approximately 80 nucleotides in length. Their secondary structure includes four short double-helical elements and three loops (D, anti-codon, and T loops). Further hydrogen bonds mediate the characteristic L-shaped molecular structure. tRNAs have two regions of fundamental functional importance: the anti-codon, which is responsible for specific mRNA codon recognition, and the 3' end, to which the tRNAs corresponding amino acid is attached (by aminoacyl-tRNA synthetases). tRNAs cope with the degeneracy of the genetic code in two manners: having more than one tRNA (with a specific anti-codon) for a particular amino acid; and 'wobble' base-pairing, i.e. permitting non-standard base-pairing at the 3rd anti-codon position. The record is from Rfam by way of RNAcentral. Lineage: Eukaryota; Metazoa; Arthropoda; Arachnida; Araneae; Eresidae.
GCCUUCGUGGUGCAGUGGUCAGCACACUGAGCCGGUAUUUCAGAGGUCCGCGGUUCGAUUCCCGGCGAAGGCC